RNAcentral lists this ribosomal RNA (556 nucleotides) under Botryosphaeria dothidea. RNAcentral's name for it is "eukaryotic LSU rRNA". The stretch from base 183 to 336 matches the Rfam family "5.8S ribosomal RNA". The record is from RNAcentral. Lineage: Eukaryota; Fungi; Ascomycota; Dothideomycetes; Botryosphaeriales; Botryosphaeriaceae.
UAUAUCGAAUUGAUUCGGGCUCGGCCGAUCCUCCCACCCUUUGUGUACCUACCUCUGUUGCUUUGGCGGGCCGCGGUCCUCCGCGGCCGCCCCCCUCCCCGGGGGGGUGGCCAGCGCCCGCCAGAGGACCAUCAAACUCCAGUCAGUAAACGAUGCAGUCUGAAAAACAUUUAAUAAACUAAAACUUUCAACAACGGAUCUCUUGGUUCUGGCAUCGAUGAAGAACGCAGCGAAAUGCGAUAAGUAAUGUGAAUUGCAGAAUUCAGUGAAUCAUCGAAUCUUUGAACGCACAUUGCGCCCUUUGGUAUUCCGAAGGGCAUGCCUGUUCGAGCGUCAUUACAACCCUCAAGCUCUGCUUGGUAUUGGGCACCGUCCUUUGCGGGCGCGCCUCAAAGACCUCGGCGGUGGCGUCUUGCCUCAAGCGUAGUAGAACAUACAUCUCGCUUCGGAGCGCAGGGCGUCGCCCGCCGGACGAACCUUCUGAACUUUUCUCAAGGUUGACCUCGGAUCAGGUAGGGAUACCCGCUGAACUUAAGCAUAUCAAUAAGCGGAGGAA